CAGCUCUGCAGUACUUAAGAAAAUGAAAUGAGUUUUUGAUGGAAAGAGCAGCUAGCCAUUUAGGGGAGCUUAUCAAGCAGUAAAACACUACAAAUGGCAAUAAACAUUCAGUUCCUAAAGCAGAAUGCUUUGUGACUUUCAUAUUCUAAUGAAGUGAUUAAAAUGAAUUCCUCGCUAUUUAUUGCAGGUGGCAGCUUAGCACCACGGGAUAUCUGUAUUUUGUAGUGUGCUUUUGUGAAGUUGUUGCUGCUGAAGACUUAAGCAACUACUGGCUGCGAUGGACAGGUUUCUGCUGGAUCAUAAAGCACUGGUCCCUUGGGUUAGUCUGUCUAAAGUUGAUACAUAGAGGAACAUGAUGGGAAACAGCUGGAGAAAAGAAGUCUGUUCUCAGGACUUUCUUGGUUGCUGAUCAAAUUCUGCACUUUCCUCCUUCACUGAGGCCAAGUCUCUUUGGACAAUGGACAAGCAAAGAGAUGAUCUGAGGGUCUGACAAUUUGCUAUCUUGAAGGAACAUUGUGUUUUCCAGCUGACCUAGCCUAAAAGACCUAGCCUUUUAUCCUCUAGCACAGGAAACAUGUAGCUUAAAAGUACUGUGGAUGUACUCUUACAGCUCUUUUCUUGAACUUGCCUUUUACUUGUAUAUACUGUAUAAAAACUAAAAAUUGACAAGUCAAAAGAUCAAAGCUGUUUUUAAAAAUAAAGCUUUUUUUCUAACUGAACCA
This 722-nucleotide long non-coding RNA is filed under the name Phasianus colchicus (ring-necked pheasant). Its description in RNAcentral is "lncRNA (ENSPCLG00000003854.1)". Lineage: Eukaryota; Metazoa; Chordata; Aves; Galliformes; Phasianidae. The record is from RNAcentral.